AAAGUUUGAUCCUGGCUCCAAACGAACGCUGGCGGCAGGCCUAGCACAUGCAAGUCGAGCGCUACCUUCGGGUGGAGCGGCGGACGGGUUAGUAACGCGUGGGAAUAUACCCUUUUCUAAGGAAUACCCUCUGGAAUCGGUGAGUAAUACCUUAUCCCCCCUUCGGGGGAAAGAUUUAUCGGUAAAGGAUUACCCCGCGUUAGAUUACAUAGUUGGUGGGGUAACGGCCUACCACGUCUACGAUCUAUAGCUGAUUUGAGAGGAUGAUCCCCAACGCUGGGACUGAUACACGGCCCAAACUCCUACGGGAGGCAGCGGUGGGGAAUCUUAAACAAUGGGCGCAUGCCUGAUCUACCCCUGCCGCGUGAGUGAUGAAGGCCCUAUGGUCGUAAAGCUCUUUCGCCAGGGAUGAUAAUGACAGUACCUGGUAAAGAAACCCCGGCUAACUCCGUGCCAGCAGCCGCGGUAAUACGGAGGGGGUUAGCGUUGUUCGGAAUUACUGGGCGUAAAGCGUACGUAGGCGGAUUACUAAGUUAGAGGUGAAAUCCCGGGGCUCAACCCCGGAACUGCCUUUAAUACUGCUAGUCUUGAGUUCGAGAGAGGUGAGUGGAAUUCCAAGUGUAGAGGUGAAAUUCGUAGAUAUUUGGAGGAACACCAGUGGCGAAGGCGGCUCACUGGCUCGAUACUGACGCUGAGGUACUAAAGUGUGCUGAGCAAACAGGAUUAGAUACCCUGAUAAUCCACACCGUAAACGAUGAAUGCCAGACGUUGGAUAGCUUGCUAUUCAGUGUCACACCUAACGGAGUAAGCAUUCCGCCUGGGGAGUACGGUCGCAAGAUUAAAACUCAAAGGAUUUG
This 857-nucleotide ribosomal RNA is filed under the name uncultured bacterium. RNAcentral's name for it is "bacterial SSU rRNA". It matches the Rfam family "Bacterial small subunit ribosomal RNA", at positions 8 to 912 of the family's 1533-position model. The record is from RNAcentral.